GACGAACGCUGGCGGCGUGCCUAAUACAUGCAAGUUGAGCGAUGAAGAUUGGUGCUUGCGCCAAUUUGAAGAGCAGCGAACGGGUGAGUAACGCGUGGGGAAUCUGCCUUUGGGCGGGGGACAACAUUUGGAAACGAAUGCUAAUACCGCAUAACAACUUUAAACAUAAGUUUUAAGUUUGAAAGAUGCAAUUGCAUCACUCAAAGAUGAUCCCGCGUUGUAUUAGCUAGUUGGUGAGGUAAAGGCUCACCAAGGCGAUGAUACAUAGCCGACCUGAGAGGGUGAUCGGCCACAGUGCGAAUGAGACACGGCCCAAACUUCUACGGGAGGCAGCAGUAGGGAAUCUUCGGCAAUGGACGAAAGGCUGACCGAGCAACGCCGCGUGAGUGAAGAAGGUUUUCGGAUCGUAAAACUCUGUUGGUAGAGAAGAACGUUGGUGAGAGUGGAAAGCUCAUCAAGUGACGGUAACUACCCAGAAAGGGACGGCUAACUACGUG
RNAcentral lists this ribosomal RNA (497 nucleotides) under uncultured bacterium. RNAcentral's name for it is "partial 16S ribosomal RNA". It matches the Rfam family "Bacterial small subunit ribosomal RNA", at positions 28 to 507 of the family's 1533-position model. The record is from RNAcentral.